RNAcentral lists this long non-coding RNA (592 nucleotides) under Homo sapiens (human). Its description in RNAcentral is "HSALNT0240189". Lineage: Eukaryota; Metazoa; Chordata; Mammalia; Primates; Hominidae. The record is from RNAcentral.
CGUCCGCAGACAGCAUGGGGGGGCUGCUCCGCUCCGGAUCUGCGAGAGGUGAAGAAACUGAGGCUCAGGAAGGAGUGACUUGUCCAAGGUCAGAGUUGAUAAGUGGAAGAGGCUGAUCUCAACUGCCGGGGUGCUUAGCCCAUUAGCCCAUGUCCUUCUUCUUUCCCCUACACUCUGUUGCCCCUGAGGAAGAUGCUGAUUCUGCCACCAGGUCAUCUGUCUGUCGUCUCUUCCCCCACAAAACAGUCAGCAGCAGUGAGCUCACAGGACAGUUGUGAGGAUGAAAUGAACUAACACUUGUACAAUGCACAACCCAGCAUCUGGCUCCCAGGAAGCACCCAAUAAAUACUGGCCAUCAGUGUUUUCAUUAUUACCAGUGAUGAUUUUUUUUCUCAAAACUCAGCAAUGACUAAAUGAGCCCCAUCCCCUGAAAGCCCACAGAGGGAGCACAGGUCUCUUCUAACCAAAACCAGAGUCAACAGUGAGGGGCUGACCCCGGUGUCCACUACCAUGGUAGCCUCCUCCCGACUCCCACCCCCUACACCCUCACUAGGCAUUGCAAUACUCCUUCAUAGCACUUUUCCAAAACCCA